GACAGAGGGUGCAAACGUUGUCCGGAAUUACUGGGCGUAAAGAGCUCGUAGGUGGUUUGUCGCGUUGUUCGUGAAAACUCACAGCUUAACUGUGGGCGUGCGGGCGAUACGGGCAGACUUGAGUACUGCAGGGGAGACUGGAAUUCCUGGUGUAGCGGUGGAAUGCGCAGAUAUCAGGAGGAACACCGGUGGCGAAGGCGGGUCUCUGGGCAGUAACUGACGCUGAGGAGCGAAAGCGUGGGGAGCGAACAGG
RNAcentral lists this ribosomal RNA (253 nucleotides) under uncultured bacterium. RNAcentral describes it as "partial 16S ribosomal RNA". It matches the Rfam family "Bacterial small subunit ribosomal RNA", at positions 524 to 776 of the family's 1533-position model. The record is from RNAcentral.